This 888-nucleotide ribosomal RNA is filed under the name Xenopyricularia zizaniicola. RNAcentral describes it as "SSU rRNA". It matches the Rfam family "Eukaryotic small subunit ribosomal RNA", at positions 47 to 941 of the family's 1831-position model. Lineage: Eukaryota; Fungi; Ascomycota; Sordariomycetes; Magnaporthales; Pyriculariaceae. The record is from RNAcentral.
AGCCCAUGCAUGUCUAAGUAUAAGCAAUUAUACAGCGAAACUGCGAAUGGCUCAUUAAAUCAGUUAUCGUUUAUUUGAUAGUACCUUACUACAUGGAUAACCGUGGUAAUUCUAGAGCUAAUACAUGCUAAAAACCCCAACUUCGGAAGGGGUGUAUUUAUUAGAUUAAAAACCAAUGCCCUUCGGGGCUCCCUGGUGAUUCAUGAUAACUUCUCGAAUCGCACGGCCUUGCGCCGGCGAUGGUUCAUUCAAAUUUCUGCCCUAUCAACUUUCGACGGCUGGGUCUUGGCCAGCCGUGGUGACAACGGGUAACGGAGGGUUAGGGCUCGACCCCGGAGAAAACGCCUGAGAAACGGCGUUUACAUCCAAGGAAGGCAGCAGGCGCGCAAAUUACCCAAUGCCGACACGGCGAGGUAGUGACGAGAAAUACUGAUACAGGGCUCUUUUGGGUCUUGUAAUUGGAAUGAGUACAAUUUAAAUCUCUUAACGAGGAACAAUUGGAGGGCAAGUCUGGUGCCAGCAGCCGCGGUAAUUCCAGCUCCAAUAGCGUAUAUUAAAGUUGUUGCAGUUAAAAAGCUCGUAGUUGAACCUUGGGCCUGGCUGGCCGGUCCGCCUCACCGCGUGCACUGGUCCGGCCGGGCCUUUCCCUCUGGGGAACCGCAUGCCCUUCACUGGGCGUGUCGGGGAACCAGGACUUUUACUUUGAAAAAAUUAGAGUGUUCAAAGCAGGCCUAUGCUCGAAUACAUUAGCAUGGAAUAAAUAGAAUAGGACGUGUGGUUCUAUUUUGUUGGUUUUCUAGGACCGCCGUAAUGAUUAAUAGGGACAGUCGGGGGGCAUCAGUAUUCAAUUGUCAGAGGUGAAAUUCUUGGAUUUAUUGAAGACUAACU